UUCUAUUUUCAGGCCGAGAUAGACUGUAACUAUGUGUUUUCGAUGGAAAACACAUGACUAAAGUCAGUCUCUAAUUCAAAACAUCAUGGAACUGGCCCGUCUAAUUUCAUGCUUCAAUCUAAAAUCCAAACAGUUCUACGGUUAUUCGAAGGGAGCUGAUUAAGGAUUCAUGGUGAGGGUGAUCGGGUGGUGAUAUGGUGUUAAUUUGGGAAUCAUUGGGCAGAUUAGGGUUUUUGACUUAACUUCGCAUGAAGAUUCAAAAACGACAGUUGUGAUUUGAUGGAAGCUGUUAUGGGGAUUGGGAUAGGG
This 309-nucleotide long non-coding RNA is filed under the name Nicotiana benthamiana. RNAcentral's name for it is "long non-coding RNA (NBEN_LNC035762)". Lineage: Eukaryota; Viridiplantae; Streptophyta; Magnoliopsida; Solanales; Solanaceae. The record is from RNAcentral.